RNAcentral lists this ribosomal RNA (404 nucleotides) under uncultured bacterium. RNAcentral's name for it is "bacterial SSU rRNA". It matches the Rfam family "Bacterial small subunit ribosomal RNA", at positions 355 to 776 of the family's 1533-position model. The record is from RNAcentral.
UGGGGAAUAUUGCACAAUGGGCGAAAGCCUGAUGCAGCAACGCCGCGUGAGUGAUGACGGUCUUCGGAUUGUAAAGCUCUGUCUUUGGGGACGAUAAUGACGGUACCCAAGGAGGAAGCCACGGCUAACUACGUGCCAGCAGCCGCGGUAAUACGUAGGUGGCAAGCGUUGUCCGGAUUUACUGGGCGUAAAGGGUGCGUAGGCGGACCUUUAAGUGAGAUGUGAAAUCCCCGAGCUUAACUUGGGGGCUGCAUUUCAAACUGGAGGUCUAGAGUGCAGGAGAGGAGAGUGGAAUUCCUAGUGUAGCGGUGAAGUGCGUAGAGAUUAGGAAGAACACCAGUGGCGAAGGCGACUCUCUGGACUGUAACUGACGCUGAGGCACGAGAGCGUGGGGAGCAAACAGG